UAGAAGGCUAAUUUAUUAUUUUAUGAUAUUAUAUUACAUUAAAGAAUGAUAUACUAGAACUAUACUAAACAAUAGAGUAAGGAUACUUACAGAAGGCUUAACAAGAUACUAAUGAAAAACCUGUGACUCUCUCCAGAGUCCUGACACAGCUGGCUGUGAUUGGUCAUUAUGUAAAAGCAAGUCACAUGAAACCAAUCAAAGAACCACCUGUUGGAUAAACAAUCUCCAAUCCACAUUCCAAAGCAGCAAAACACAGGAGAAGUGAAUCAGAUAAUUAUUGUUUUCAUUUUUCUCUGAGGCUUCUCAGGAGAAGAAAUCCUGGUGAAGGGAUUUUUCAGAAAAUAUGACAGUGACACAAUGGGAAAGGACAGCAGGAAGGAUGAUGACAGAGACCCUACAGGGUACAACAGGAAGAAGGAAGAGGAACACUCGGCAUCGUUUCUGGAGCAUUUUCAGGGGUGGCUGCUAAUGGUAAUGAUGAUGCUGAGCUCUCUCAUAAUUUUAUACUUUCAAAGAAAACAGUGAGAUCUCUGCUCUUAAGGUUGUCUUCAUGAAAAUGUCCACUGGAUGACUACGAUAAAGAAAUGAAGAAUGAACAGACAGAAAAGGUAAUAAUAAGAAAAAGUGAAUUUCUAACUAUAUGCAGAACUACAU
RNAcentral lists this long non-coding RNA (654 nucleotides) under Junco hyemalis (dark-eyed junco). Its description in RNAcentral is "lncRNA (ENSJHYG00000007199.1)". The record is from RNAcentral. Lineage: Eukaryota; Metazoa; Chordata; Aves; Passeriformes; Passerellidae.